GCAGGUUUCCUUAAGAUGUUUCCCUCACUGCGUUCUAGAGCAAAGAAUGGGAGCACUCCAUAUCCUCUUGUUAAUGUUGUUAAAAGCGAGUAAACAUAAUGUCAAAAACCACUCUAAAGGUUACAGUUGACUAAAUUCAGAAGUAUCAUUCAGUAUUUAAAAUUAAAAAAGCGGUAAAUUGGGAAAGAGGACAAGACGCGGCUUUAACAAUAGCGGGUAUAAUAGCGGAGGCGGGUACGGUAGCGGGGGCGAGUACGGGCGCGGCAGUGACGAGCGAGACACCAGUAGCCAGGAGGGUAAUGGAUGCAGCAGCGAAAAUGGCAGGAGCCGAGAAUACGCCUACAACCGAGAUGGCCGACAAUUCAACGAGAACAGCCGUGGAACUCGAUCCUUCGCCAAGGCGUCCGCCUCAGCUGCCGCUUCCGCGUAUAACAUAAACAGUGGCUCAAAAAAUCUUUUAGCAUAAUUGGCAGUUCAUUAUCUUCGUAAUAAAUGGUUUGAUUGCUGGGAAGUUUAAGGCGAAGAAUGAUGUUGAUCUUAUAUACAAUAUACGUAAAUUAAUUAAUUUUGAAUUGAAUUUAUUUAUUUGAGUUUGAUUUGAUAAAUUUACGUUACGGAUAUUAGUUUUUUUAAUACUUAAUUAUAUGAUAA
Amyelois transitella is the source of this 651-nucleotide RNA transcript. It is a transcript of the gene named putative carbonic anhydrase 2, with no coding region annotated. The transcript is spliced from 3 exons. Lineage: Eukaryota; Metazoa; Arthropoda; Insecta; Lepidoptera; Pyralidae. The record is from RefSeq and is a predicted model, not a curated record.